RNAcentral lists this ribosomal RNA (468 nucleotides) under uncultured bacterium. RNAcentral describes it as "partial 16S ribosomal RNA". It matches the Rfam family "Bacterial small subunit ribosomal RNA", at positions 28 to 507 of the family's 1533-position model. The record is from RNAcentral.
GACGAACGCUGGCGGCGUGCUUAACACAUGCAAGUCGAACGGAAAGGUCCUGCUUUUGUGGGGUGCUCGAGUGGCGAACGGGUGAGUAACACGUGAGUAACCUGCCCUUGACUUUGGGAUAACUUCAGGAAACUGGGGCUCAUACCGGAUAGGAGCUCCUGCUGCAUGGUGGGGGUUGGAAAGUUUCGGCGGUUGGGGAUGGACUCGCGGCUUAUCAGCUUGUUGGUGGGGUAGUGGCUUACCAAGGCUUUGACGGGUAGCCGGCCUGAGAGGGUGACCGGCCACAUUGGGACUGAGAUACGGCCCAGACUCCUACGGGAGGCAGCAGUGGGGAAUAUUGCACAAUGGGCGGAAGCCUGAUGCAGCAACGCCGCGUGCGGGAUGACGGCCUUCGGGUUGUAAACCGCUUUCGCCUGUGACGAAGCGUGAGUGACGGUAAUGGGUAAAGAAGCACCGGCUAACUACGUG